This 482-nucleotide ribosomal RNA is filed under the name uncultured bacterium. RNAcentral describes it as "partial 16S ribosomal RNA". It matches the Rfam family "Bacterial small subunit ribosomal RNA", at positions 28 to 507 of the family's 1533-position model. The record is from RNAcentral.
GACGAACGCUGGCGGCGUGCUUAACACAUGCAAGUCGAACGAUGAAGAAGAGAAACGCGAACUUCGGUUCAAAUUUCACUUCGGAUUAGUGGCAGACGGGUGAGUAACGCGUGAGCAACCUACCUCUUACAAAGGGAUAGCCUCGGGAAACCGUGAUUAAUACCAUAUGACACAUUCAUAAGGCAUCUUAAGAAUGUUAAAGCUACGGCGGUAAGAGAUGGGCUCGCGUCCCAUUAGCUAGUUGGUGAGGUAACGGCCCACCAAGGCGACGAUGGGUAACCGGCCUGAGAGGGUGAACGGUCACAUUGGAACUGAGACACGGUCCAAACUCCUACGGGAGGCAGCAGUGGGGAAUAUUGCACAAUGGAGGGAACUCUGAUGCAGCGACGCCGCGUGAGCGAUGAAGGAAUUCGUUUCGUAAAGCUCUGUUCUAUGGGAAGAAAAAGACUGUACCAUAGGAGAAAGCCCCGGCUAAAUACGUG